UUGAUUUAUUCAAAAUUUUAACUCAGACGACCGGUUAAAUAACAAGAGUUUGGUUUAACUCUGGCGGGCGCUCGCCUGGGACGAAUCCCCAGCGGCUCGAGACCGAGCGGUCCCGCCAAAGCAACAAGGUAGUUUUAACAACAAAGGGUUGGAGGUCGGGCGCUGAGCACCCUUACUCUUUAAUGAUCCUUCCGCAGGUUCACCUACGGAAA
This 212-nucleotide unclassified non-coding RNA is filed under the name uncultured fungus. RNAcentral's name for it is "sequence contains ITS1". The record is from RNAcentral. Lineage: Eukaryota; Fungi.